Capra hircus (goat) is the source of this 526-nucleotide long non-coding RNA. RefSeq lists it as uncharacterized. NCBI's taxonomy places the organism in Eukaryota, Metazoa, Chordata, Mammalia, Artiodactyla, Bovidae. The transcript has 3 exons. The record is from RefSeq and is a predicted model, not a curated record.
CCUGGAGAGAAACUCUAUGAAUAUAAUCUAUGUGGAAAAGCCACCAGAAGAAAUUCUAACCAUAUUCCACCCAAGAGAAAUUACACAGGAGAGAAAUGCAAUGAAUAGAAAGAAUAUGGGAAAGUGUAUAGUUAUCCUUCAUUGCUUAGGAUCCAUGUGUGAUAGAUCUCAGCUGGCCUCCCUCGUGGCUCAGGGGUAAGGGAUCUGCCUGCCAGUGCAGAGGACGCAGGUUCAAUCCUUGGGUCAGGAAGUCCCCUGGAGAAGGAGAUGGCAACCCAUGCCUGCAUUCUUUCCUGGAGAAACCCCACGGGCAGAGGAGUCUGGAAGCUACGGUCCAUGGGGUCACAAAAGACUCAGACACGAUUUUGUGACUAAACAUCUGCAUUCCUCUUGCUGGACCCCAUGCUGGUUGGGAAUCUCUUCAGGCUUGCUUUCUGCAAAUCACUGGGUACAGAAACGUUAUUGCAAAUGUGGAAAAAACGUGCAGAGAACCUGUGCUUCUGAUAAUGUCUGACAUGAAGGAAUG